GAGAAUAUAGCUUAAAGGAUAAAGCCUUUGCCUUUUAAGCAAAAGAGUAAGAGUUCAAAUCUCUUUAUUCUCA
Molecule: transfer RNA, 73 nt
Filed under: Pneumocystis canis
Lineage: Eukaryota; Fungi; Ascomycota; Pneumocystomycetes; Pneumocystales; Pneumocystaceae
Description: tRNA-Lys
Rfam family: tRNA
About the family: Transfer RNA (tRNA) molecules are approximately 80 nucleotides in length. Their secondary structure includes four short double-helical elements and three loops (D, anti-codon, and T loops).
Source: RNAcentral